AAAUUAAAUCAAAAUAAUUCCUAUAUUCCGCUUCCCUUGACAAAUCAGGGAGGAACAAGCAUGAUUUUAGUUGAAGAUUUAAGAAAGGAAUUGAUUACAAAACCUUCACUUGAAAUAUGGUCCAAAUCAAGGGGAACUGAGGAAAAUGAUUAAUGUAAACAAUAUUGGCAUUAAGUUUAAGUUUAGUUGAGUUGUAUAAGAUAUUGAUCACCAUCUUUUCUUAAAAAUUGUUCACCAUAAAAAAAAAUCCAUGUCCCUAAAUUCUACAAAUAUGUAACUCGCCCCAUUCCCUUGUAACAGUAUUACAUCCUAAACAAUGUUGAGAGAGGGAAAA
RNAcentral lists this unclassified non-coding RNA (334 nucleotides) under Hevea brasiliensis (rubber tree). The record is from RNAcentral. Lineage: Eukaryota; Viridiplantae; Streptophyta; Magnoliopsida; Malpighiales; Euphorbiaceae.